This is an RNA transcript of Herpailurus yagouaroundi (jaguarundi), 2316 nucleotides long. It is a transcript of the gene named chromosome unknown C20orf173 homolog, with no coding region annotated. The record is from RefSeq and is a predicted model, not a curated record. NCBI's taxonomy places the organism in Eukaryota, Metazoa, Chordata, Mammalia, Carnivora, Felidae. The transcript is spliced from 8 exons.
UCACCUGGGUGACUCAGUAUUUUAGUUCCCUCUCAACUCCGUUCAUGUAUCCCAUAAAUAUUUUUUAAAUGAUUUUAAGUCCCCAUUCUCAUAGGUCUUAUGUUGAGUGUAGGUCGCUGGUGUAUUCCAGACAGGAUAGAGUGGCAGCUUUGCCCAGGUAGGCGACAAGAGGGAGGUCACAAUGUGUACAUUGUGAUGACAUCUAUGGAGUAACUGGUGGCAUGGAGAACCCCACUGAGAGCUAAGCCUUCCUCCUGUGGGGAGGAUACGGGACCCGCCAUAAGUUAUCUCUCUGUCCCUGCAUCUGCCAUCCUAGGGCCAGCCAGAGUCCUCUUUGGAGGACAUGAACUCAGCAAGUGGUUUUGGCAAAAUGUGGAAAAAGGUGUUCAAGGGGAUUCCCAGACUCUCAGUGAGCCAUUUCCAUUUCUACUGUGGGACUUGUACUUUGGUGGGGAACUCCAAGAUCCUGCGGGCCUCCGGCCUUGGCAACAAUAUCAACCAGUGGACCCUAGCCUUCGGAAUGAACCAGGGCCCUGUCCAGAGCAUUGAAAAGGUGGGGAACCAAACCAUAGGAUGCUUCAUCUAUCCUGGGAAUGCCAGCAGCCAGGGCUCUUGGAGACAGCUGCUGCUUCUGCUGCUGCUGCUGCUGCAGCUUUCUGGUCUGGUGUGGACUUCAGAUGCUCCAAGUGAGGAGGAUGCCUACUUUGGAUUUGGAUCAGAAAAGCAAAGAAAGGGGUGUGAUGACUGUUAAUCAGACCAAUGAUUACAAGGAGAUUUUGUCCAUACAGAGCAUGGAAGCAGAAAUGGAAGUCAGCUACAGUGUGUUGGGCAAGCUCACUGUCCACACGUGACACCCUGCAGAGUUCAUGCAAGUCCUAGUCCUUUGGACCUCAACAAAGCAGCAGUUUGUUUCUGUUUCUGAGACCAAGAAUUCCAACUAACACACAUCACACUUCUGCCAACAGCACUGGAGUCUGGAAGAUGAUGGAAUAUGCCAUCAGGCUCUGGAGCUACUUUUGCAACCUAGGAUCUUUUACACCCAGCCAAACUAUCAAUCAAGCCUAAGGACAUUGUGGUCUCCAUGGCUCCCAUAACAAAUUAGCACAAAAUAGGAUGAACCAGGCCCCUGUCCAAGGCUUUGAGAUGGAUGUGGGGAACAAAACCACCAUGCACAUUAUGUACACUGAGAUGGCUAGCACACAGGAUCCUGGCACCCCACUGCUGCUGCUUCCUCUGAAUUCAUCUGGUCUAAAGUGGUUUAUGGAAGUGCUGCGGGAAUAGAGCUUCAGAAGCCCAGGGUAUGGCAGUGAGUGGAGCCAUUGCAGAGGGUGACAGUGGGGACUCCAGAGGGACCCUUGCUGAAUUUUGGGGCACCCUCAAGGCUUACCUAAGCUUGGGGGCUUCUGUGUCAAAUGACUCUAAAAUUCCCACAUCCCAAUCCCUUUUUAGAUUUCAGAUCGUCCAGGUCCCUAGUAGAAGUAACAAGAGCAAAGACAAGGUCUUGGUGAUCAGCCUCAACUUUCUCCAGUAUGUCCAGCAUUGUUGGCUGGGGAAACACAGUUGGUUUCCAUCCUUGGGGUUCGUGGGUUUGUUGUAUGCCCUGCACACAUGUGACCAGGCACUGAUGCUAGGAGACCUAACCCCAUUCCAGCUGGCCAAGGAGGAACUUUUCAGCUGAUCCCCACAGCAAAGCCCUGAGACCCACCCAUGCCAGUCCUGUGCUAUGCAACGUGGAACUCGGGGAAUCUGAAGUCUUCACAAUAUGGAGUAUCCACUGAGGAGCACCACCUGUGCUUAGUGGGGGCAAGAGGGUGAGGGUGGUGAGCAGUGCCAGCCUGUGAGCCCCAAAGCCUUCCUGACUUCCUUUCCUAUCUCUGCAGAAUGAACCAGGCCCCAGUUUUAGGUCCAGAGAACAACAAAGGCAACAAACAGAAUCUACCUGCACAUAAUGCACCUGAGAAUGCCCAUGACCUGGAGAGAAUAUCCACACACUGCUGGUGUUGUCACAGCCACCAGAUAUAGGGUGGACUGUAGUGGUCUUGAGCCAAGGUGGAAAAGGGCAUCUUUUACCAGGUGGUGUGAGGGUGGAGGCCCCAGGCCUGGAGCAGACAGCCCUGGCUUUUUGGUGUAAAUGUUGAUCUUGUCGUCACUCUGCAGUGUGUGACUGUAUACUCCCCACCUCCCUAACCUACAACCAGUAUUUCCUUCUCUACUUCAUGCUUUUCUGCCUUCACGCUUCUACUAGUCCCGUGUAGGGAAGCAUAUGAGUCAAGGUAAUUAAAUUGUGCUCUGGUGAUCGUUGCUGUAACAUGCAAA